UACGUAGGGUCCGGGCGUUGUCCGGAGUUACUGGGCGUAAAGCGCGCGCAGGCGGCCCGGCAAGCAUGGCGUGAAAGCCCCCGGCUCAACCGGGGAGGGUCGUCGUGGACUGCCGGGCUUGAGGGCGGUAGGGGUUGGUGGAAUGCCCGGUGUAGUGGUGAAAUGCGUAGAGAUCGGGCGGAACACCCGUGGCGAAGGCGGCCAACUGGGCCGACCCUGACGCUGAGGCGCGAAGGCGUGGGGAGCGAACGGG
Molecule: ribosomal RNA, 253 nt
Filed under: uncultured bacterium
Lineage: Bacteria
Description: partial 16S ribosomal RNA
Rfam family: Bacterial small subunit ribosomal RNA
Source: RNAcentral